GAUGAAGAACGUAGCGAAAUGCGAUAAGUAAUGUGAAUUGCAGAAUUCAGUGAAUCAUCGAAUCUUUGAACGCACAUUGCGCCCGCCAGUAUUCUGGCGGGCAUGCCUGUUCGAGCGUCAUUUCAACCAUCAAGCCCCCGGCUUGUGUUGGGGACCUGCGGCUGCCGCAGGCCCUGAAAAGCAGUGGCGGGCUCGCUGUCACACCGAGCGUAGUAGCAUACAUCUCGCUCUGGGCGUGCUGUGGGUUCCGGCCGUUAAACCACCUUCAUAACCCAAGGUUGACCUCGGAUCAGGUAGGAAGACCCGCUGAACUUAAGCAUAUCAAUAAGCGGAGGA
Molecule: unclassified non-coding RNA, 336 nt
Filed under: soil metagenome
Description: partial contains 5.8S ribosomal RNA, internal transcribed spacer 2, and large subunit ribosomal RNA
Rfam family: 5.8S ribosomal RNA (bases 1-120)
Source: RNAcentral